This 253-nucleotide ribosomal RNA is filed under the name uncultured bacterium. RNAcentral describes it as "partial 16S ribosomal RNA". It matches the Rfam family "Bacterial small subunit ribosomal RNA", at positions 524 to 776 of the family's 1533-position model. The record is from RNAcentral.
UACGUAGGGUGCGAGCGUUAAUCGGAAUUACUGGGCGUAAAGCGUGCGCAGGCGGUCUGUUAAGACCGAUGUGAAAUCCCCGGGCUUAACCUGGGAACUGCGUUUGAAACUACAAGGCUAGAGUGUGGCAGAGGGGGGUGGAAUUCCACGUGUAGCAGUGAAAUGCGUAGAGAUGUGGAGGAACACCGAUGGCGAAGGCAGCCCCCUGGGUUAACACUGACGCUCAGGCACGAAAGCGUGGGGAGCAAACAGG